Molecule: long non-coding RNA, 2078 nt
Organism: Lolium perenne
Lineage: Eukaryota; Viridiplantae; Streptophyta; Magnoliopsida; Poales; Poaceae
Source: RefSeq, a predicted model, not a curated record
ACAGCACUUUGUAGCCCGCCCAUCACGUGCAGGACAGCCCACGCUCUUCGCUUCGCCGUCUUCACUCUUCACAGGCUGGAGCGAGGAGGAGCCCUCCUCCUCUACGAACCACGGCUUCCCGCAUCAACAUCCUCGAAGGCUAAUCUACGAAUCAAUUUACUUUUUCGGAUUCGUGGAGAGGCCGCAGAUAGAGCUAGAUCCCACUCUUCUCCUCCCCCAGUCGAUAUCGGCUCCAAACCGGGGAAUUUUCUGGAGGAGUUAGACAUGGGGGGAAGAAGCGGCGUUUAACUAUUGCCGAUGAUUUCUCUGUUGCUAUGGUGCAGCCUACCGCUGGCAAAUGGAAAAGGAAGUUCAGUGUCAAGCGUAAUGAUAUGCUGGUAGCUUGAUUAUGCUGUACUUACCAUUUCUUGAAUUUCCGACAUUGGCUUGAGCAUGGAGAUUUUUGCUGAGUCUGUAUUUCUAGGUGAAAGAAAAAACAAUUUAGUAUCUUACUUGAAGACAUAGGCGGACUAUUAUGGCAGAGCUAUACUAUAAAUUCUUUGUAUUACCUGGAGAUGGCUCUUAAGAUGAUACAAUGUUAGUCCAGGGACAGCCAUGAGCCUCAUAAUAGUUUUCGGGGUGGCUUCUGCAGAGAUUUGUAAGUGUUUAGAUGAUAGCAUCGAUGCAGUUGCUUCUAGGGCAAAAAAGGUAUCAGUAGUGCGUGCUUACUAUCUGGUCCGCCGAGUUGAUUUACUGCCUCCACGAAACGAUCAUGUAGCUCUGGGGUCCAUUUUAACCUAGGCUUAGCAUCAGUUGAGAGUACAAGCCCUGACUCUCCUGGAAUAAUUCCUCCUUGCAUAAGUAAGUGCCUCUCUGAAGGGAAAGUCUGCCUAGAAGACAAGAGCUGGUUGUGGCUCUGGAGCUGUUGUUGAUGAUGAUACAUCUGAAUAAAAAUAUCGCAGUUCUUUUCAGUACUGAUGUCUGCUUGUAGACUGAUCCUUCCAAGAACUCUCUGCUGCAGCUUUAUCAACCCUCCGUUUCUGGUACUGGUCUUAUAAGGCAGGAAAGGGAGAAGAGAAUUUCGAAUCGUUGGAAGAAGCACUCGAACCUGACCCAAUCUUCACAGCAACUGAAAAGAGAUAUUAUCCUUAUUCCUUUAGCGUACUGAAGCACAACAUACAUUUGACUAAGGCAUAUAAGUAUCACUUCAUAUGAGAGCAAAAAAAUUAAAUUCCUUAUUGACCGAAGGCAUCCAGAAGAAGAACUGGUUGAUGUUUUGCCUGCAAACAAAGCAAAGAAGGAACUCAUUCUAUCACAGAUGCCUUUCUUGGGACUGCACAAAAGCAAAGUAUGGAAUAAGCAUAUGAUUCCCUUUUGUCUCCUCUGGGAGGCACGCGAUCCUGAGAGAAGGAACAAGGGAAAGAGUGAUGCUGACAAAGCUGGCGGAAUCGGGGCCCUUUUAUUUUUGGCAAAGAUGAGAUGGAAUAUAAUCGCCUAUGUCUCCCUCUUGUGUGUGGUAUGGUUUCUCUGUUCUACCGCAUCCAUGUAUCUCGCGGCAGGCCUGCAAGACCAAGUGACCACCAACACGUGUGGACAGUUGUGUAGGUAGUAUCUUCGGAGCUCGGUGCUAAUAUUAAACCCACAUCCCGGUUGCAGGAAGAAAGUGAACCUGAACAAGGAGCAUAAUGCGUGGAGAUUAUAGAGAGCAGUUGCUUAGUGUUUGAUAUCAUAUCUGAACAACCUGAAGAUGCUUUCGUUUUUUAUAAUCUGGGAGCUUUCUCCGCAUCUUGGUUCCUGCCCGUCGGAUCCCUCAGGCAUCUGCUUUUCUGAACGGUGAAGCAAAGGUUGCAAUUUUGCUGAAUGCACUGGACUGAAAACGCCAGGAGAUGCCUCGGUUUUGUACAUGUGAAGUCGGGUUGGCAAAGAUGAGAAACGGAAUUUCGAUCAUUUAUUCAUUCUGAGCAGUCUUUGGUUUUUUUUAUCUGUGGAGGGAAAGCAAGUCUCCCCUUUUUUUGGAACUCACAUCAGUCGGUUCCUCUUUUUAUUUUUUGUAUGUAAUAAAGCCAAUGAGCACGGAACGUUUCUGAACAGUCGGCACC